RNAcentral lists this transfer-messenger RNA (395 nucleotides) under Bacteroidota bacterium. RNAcentral describes it as "Bacteroidetes bacterium transfer-messenger RNA". It matches the Rfam family "transfer-messenger RNA". From Rfam's summary of the family: Bacterial tmRNA, also known as 10Sa RNA or SsrA, is named for its dual tRNA and mRNA-like properties. Its role is to liberate the mRNA from a stalled ribosome. The record is from RNAcentral. Lineage: Bacteria; Pseudomonadati; Bacteroidota.
GGGGUCGACUGGUUUUGACAGCGAGAUUAAUGAAACAGUAAGCACGUCGUGUAAUGAUUUUGAAACACGUAAAAGGCUAGAUCAACUUUUUUAAACGGCGAGAACAACUACGCUUUAGCUGCUUAAUCUGAAUUAUAGUAAGAUAAGCCUCGUCCUACUAGGUAGGAAUGCUAAAUGUCUCAAGAAAGCCUUAGUUAAUGGCGUUCUUUUAAUGGCAUCGUAAAAAUUGACUGAGAUUACGUAGUGCUUUGAUGCGUUUUCGAGAUUAAAAAGCUAAGUUAUAAGUAGGUUGUCUUUUGCCAGCUUAUAAUCUAAAAUCUAAUGAAAGAACAAGCGUGUAGAAAGCUCUUUGAUUACUUGUUUGGACGAGGGUUCGAUUCCCUCCGACUCCACUU